This 265-nucleotide ribosomal RNA is filed under the name uncultured prokaryote. Its description in RNAcentral is "partial 16S ribosomal RNA". It matches the Rfam family "Bacterial small subunit ribosomal RNA", at positions 524 to 788 of the family's 1533-position model. The record is from RNAcentral.
UACGUAGGUGGCAAGCGUUAUCCGGAAUUAUUGGGCGUAAAGAGCGCGCAGGUGGUUGAUUAAGUCUGAUGUGAAAGCCCACGGCUUAACCGUGGAGGGUCAUUGGAAACUGGUCGACUUGAGUGCAGAAGAGGGAAGUGGAAUUCCAUGUGUAGCGGUGAAAUGCGUAGAAAUCAGGAGGAAUACCAGUGGCGAAGGCGGCUUUCUGGACUGACCCUGACGCUGAGGUGCGAAAGCGUGGGUAGCAAACAGGAUUAGAUACCCU